ACCGCGGGCCUCAAAAACGGCCGGCGGCACCUCGGCAAAGGCGCCGCCGCCGCCGUGCCCUGCAAAGAGCGCCGGCCACAGGCGCUCGACCUGUUGGCGACAGUAGACCGCCGCAUGUCGCUUGCCGUCGUCGUGAUCGAUUGCGAUAAAGAGAUCCAGCGUGUUGCCGCCAUCGCCGGAUCUGCCAUGGCCUGCCAAAAAGGUAGCCACAGCGACAUUGAGAUCAAAGAGGAGCGGCGUAGAGCGCGGGAGGACCACCAACAGGCGGGCGAGGAUGGACCACACGACCGUGGCGCGGCCGCUCUGGUGCUUUGCGCGGAUGGCGAGCGCGCCCAGCACGCCCAAGAGCAUCGCCGACACUGACUCGACCCAGUUGGCGCCGGUCACAAGGCUCCACACGCCAUACACAAAAACGAGGGCACAAGCGGCGGCACACGUGAUAGCCGCCCACGGCCGCGGAGCCGGGUCCAAUGGUACAUAGGGGAAGCGCCCCGUCGGCACAUACUGGUGCAGCGUGCCGCCUGUUGCAGUCAUGCCUUGCUGUUGUCGCUGCUGAUUGCCUGUGUGAGUUUCUCGCCUAAUCGUCCUUCUUUUUUCU
Molecule: long non-coding RNA, 598 nt
Filed under: Pandoravirus quercus
Description: hypothetical ncRNA
Source: RNAcentral